UACGUAGGGGGCAAGCGUUAUCCGGAUUUACUGGGUGUAAAGGGAGCGUAGGCGGCGAUGCAAGUCAGAAGUGAAAGCCCGGGGCUCAACUCCGGGACUGCUUUUGAAACUGUGUUGCUAGAUUGCAGGAGAGGUAAGUGGAAUUCCUAGUGUAGCGGUGAAAUGCGUAGAUAUUAGGAGGAACACCAGUGGCGAAGGCGGCUUACUGGACUGUAAAUGACGCUGAGGCUCGAAAGCGUGGGGAGCAAACAGG
Molecule: ribosomal RNA, 253 nt
Filed under: uncultured bacterium
Lineage: Bacteria
Description: partial 16S ribosomal RNA
Rfam family: Bacterial small subunit ribosomal RNA
Source: RNAcentral